Molecule: ribosomal RNA, 502 nt
Filed under: uncultured bacterium
Lineage: Bacteria
Description: partial 16S ribosomal RNA
Rfam family: Bacterial small subunit ribosomal RNA
Source: RNAcentral
AUUGAACGCUGGCGGAAUGCUUUACACAUGCAAGUCGAACGGCAGCACGGGAGCUUGCUCCUGGUGGCGAGUGGCGAACGGGUGAGUAACAUAUCGGAACGUACCCAGUGGUGGGGGAUAACACAUCGAAAGAUGUGCUAAUACCGCAUACGACCUGAGGGUGAAAGGGGGGGAUCGCCAGAGCCCUCGCCGUUGGACCGGCCGAUAACGGAUUAGCUAGUUGGUGAGGUAAAGGCUCACCAAGGCGACGAUCCGUAGCUGGUCUGAGAGGAUGAUCAGCCACACUGGGACUGAGACACGGCCCAGACUCCUACGGGAGGCAGCAGUGGGGAAUUUUGGACAAUGGGGGCAACCCUGAUCCAGCCAUUCCGCGUGAGUGAAGAAGGCCUUCGGGUUGUAAAGCUCUUUCGGCAGGAACGAAACGGUGGAUCCUAAUACGGUCUGCUAAUGACGGUACCUGAAGAAGAAGCACCGGCUAACUACGUGCCAGCCGCCGCGGUAA